CCGAGUGAGGGUCCCUUGCGGGCCCAACCUCCCACCCGUGUUUAACUAUACCGUGUUGCUUCGGCGGGCCCACCGGGGCCUGUUCCUGGUCGCCUGGGGGCGUGAAACCCCCCGGGCCCGUGCCCGCCGGAGACCCCUUGAACCCUGAGUGAAUCGAGUGUCGUCUGAGUUUGAGUUAAAUCAUUA
Molecule: unclassified non-coding RNA, 186 nt
Filed under: uncultured Eurotiales
Lineage: Eukaryota; Fungi; Ascomycota; Eurotiomycetes; Eurotiales
Description: sequence contains ITS1
Source: RNAcentral